GGGUUGUGAGGUUAAGCGACUAAGCGUACACGGUGGAUGCCCUGGCAGUCAGAGGCGAUGAAGGACGUGCUAAUCUGCGAUAAGCGUCGGUAAGGUGAUAUGAACCGUUAUAACCGGCGAUUUCCGAAUGGGGAAACCCAGUGUGUUUCGACACACUAUCAUUAACUGAAUCCAUAGGUUAAUGAGGCGAACCGGGGGAACUGAAACAUCUAAGUACCCCGAGGAAAAGAAAUCAACCGAGAUUCCCCCAGUAGCGGCGAGCGAACGGGGAGCAGCCCAGAGCCUGAAUCAGUGUGUGUGUUAGUGGAAGCGUCUGGAAAGGCGUGCGAUACAGGGUGACAGCCCCGUACACAAAAAUGCACAUGCUGUGAGCUCGAUGAGUAGGGCGGGACACGUGGUAUCCUGUCUGAAUAUGGGGGGACCAUCCUCCAAGGCUAAAUACUCCUGACUGACCGAUAGUGAACCAGUACCGUGAGGGAAAGGCGAAAAGAACCCCGGCGAGGGGAGUGAAAAAGAACCUGAAACCGUGUACGUACAAGCAGUGGGAGCACGCUUAGGCGUGUGACUGCGUACCUUUUGUAUAAUGGGUCAGCGACUUAUAUUCUGUAGCAAGGUUAACCGAAUAGGGGAGCCGAAGGGAAACCGAGUCUUAACUGGGCGUUAAGUUGCAGGGUAUAGACCCGAAACCCGGUGAUCUAGCCAUGGGCAGGUUGAAGGUUGGGUAACACUAACUGGAGGACCGAACCGACUAAUGUUGAAAAAUUAGCGGAUGACUUGUGGCUGGGGGUGAAAGGCCAAUCAAACCGGGAGAUAGCUGGUUCUCCCCGAAAGCUAUUUAGGUAGCGCCUCGUGAAUUCAUCUCCGGGGGUAGAGCACUGUUUCGGCAAGGGGGUCAUCCCGACUUACCAACCCGAUGCAAACUGCGAAUACCGGAGAAUGUUAUCACGGGAGACACACGGCGGGUGCUAACGUCCGUCGUGAAGAGGGAAACAACCCAGACCGCCAGCUAAGGUCCCAAAGUCAUGGUUAAGUGGGAAACGAUGUGGGAAGGCCCAGACAGCCAGGAUGUUGGCUUAGAAGCAGCCAUCAUUUAAAGAAAGCGUAAUAGCUCACUGGUCGAGUCGGCCUGCGCGGAAGAUGUAACGGGGCUAAACCAUGCACCGAAGCUGCGGCAGCGACGCUGAUGCGUUGUUGGGUAGGGGAGCGUUCUGUAAGCCUGCGAAGGUGUGCUGUGAGGCAUGCUGGAGGUAUCAGAAGUGCGAAUGCUGACAUAAGUAACGAUAAAGCGGGUGAAAAGCCCGCUCGCCGGAAGACCAAGGGUUCCUGUCCAACGUUAAUCGGGGCAGGGUGAGUCGACCCCUAAGGCGAGGCCGAAAGGCGUAGUCGAUGGGAAACAGGUUAAUAUUCCUGUACUUGGUGUUACUGCGAAGGGGGGACGGAGAAGGCUAUGUUGGCCGGGCGACGGUUGUCCCGGUUUAAGCGUGUAGGCUGGUUUUCCAGGCAAAUCCGGAAAAUCAAGGCUGAGGCGUGAUGACGAGGCACUACGGUGCUGAAGCAACAAAUGCCCUGCUUCCAGGAAAAGCCUCUAAGCAUCAGGUAACAUCAAAUCGUACCCCAAACCGACACAGGUGGUCAGGUAGAGAAUACCAAGGCGCUUGAGAGAACUCGGGUGAAGGAACUAGGCAAAAUGGUGCCGUAACUUCGGGAGAAGGCACGCUGAUAUGUAGGUGAAGUCCCUCGCGGAUGGAGCUGAAAUCAGUCGAAGAUACCAGCUGGCUGCAACUGUUUAUUAAAAACACAGCACUGUGCAAACACGAAAGUGGACGUAUACGGUGUGACGCCUGCCCGGUGCCGGAAGGUUAAUUGAUGGGGUCAGCGCAAGCGAAGCUCUUGAUCGAAGCCCCGGUAAACGGCGGCCGUAACUAUAACGGUCCUAAGGUAGCGAAAUUCCUUGUCGGGUAAGUUCCGACCUGCACGAAUGGCGUAAUGAUGGCCAGGCUGUCUCCACCCGAGACUCAGUGAAAUUGAACUCGCUGUGAAGAUGCAGUGUACCCGCGGCAAGACGGAAAGACCCCGUGAACCUUUACUAUAGCUUGACACUGAACAUUGAGCCUUGAUGUGUAGGAUAGGUGGGAGGCUUUGAAGUGUGGACGCCAGUCUGCAUGGAGCCGACCUUGAAAUACCACCCUUUAAUGUUUGAUGUUCUAACGUGGACCCGUGAUCCGGGUUGCGGACAGUGUCUGGUGGGUAGUUUGACUGGGGCGGUCUCCUCCUAAAGAGUAACGGAGGAGCACGAAGGUUGGCUAAUCCUGGUCGGACAUCAGGAGGUUAGUGCAAUGGCAUAAGCCAGCUUGACUGCGAGCGUGACGGCGCGAGCAGGUGCGAAAGCAGGUCAUAGUGAUCCGGUGGUUCUGAAUGGAAGGGCCAUCGCUCAACGGAUAAAAGGUACUCCGGGGAUAACAGGCUGAUACCGCCCAAGAGUUCAUAUCGACGGCGGUGUUUGGCACCUCGAUGUCGGCUCAUCACAUCCUGGGGCUGAAGUAGGUCCCAAGGGUAUGGCUGUUCGCCAUUUAAAGUGGUACGCGAGCUGGGUUUAGAACGUCGUGAGACAGUUCGGUCCCUAUCUGCCGUGGGCGCUGGAGAACUGAGGGGGGCUGCUCCUAGUACGAGAGGACCGGAGUGGACGCAUCACUGGUGUUCGGGUUGUCAUGCCAAUGGCACUGCCCGGUAGCUAAAUGCGGAAGAGAUAAGUGCUGAAAGCAUCUAAGCACGAAACUUGCCCCGAGAUGAGUUCUCCCUGACUCCUUGAGAGUCCUGAAGGAACGUUGAAGACGACGACGUUGAUAGGCCGGGUGUGUAAGCGCAGCGAUGCGUUGAGCUAACCGGUACUAAUGAACCGUGAGGCUUAACCUUACAACGCCGAAGCUGUU
RNAcentral lists this ribosomal RNA (2930 nucleotides) under Escherichia coli O145:H25 str. 07-3858. RNAcentral's name for it is "bacterial LSU rRNA". It matches the Rfam family "Bacterial large subunit ribosomal RNA". The record is from RNAcentral. Lineage: Bacteria; Pseudomonadati; Pseudomonadota; Gammaproteobacteria; Enterobacterales; Enterobacteriaceae.